This is a long non-coding RNA of Oryza brachyantha (malo sina), 1142 nucleotides long. RefSeq lists it as uncharacterized. The record is from RefSeq and is a predicted model, not a curated record. Lineage: Eukaryota; Viridiplantae; Streptophyta; Magnoliopsida; Poales; Poaceae. The transcript has 3 exons.
CCUCGAGCUCGGUCUCGGGACGAGAGAGAAAGAGAGGAUCGCGGAGCAGAGGCGGAGCAGAGCAGCAUCGGAUCGGAUCGAUCCUCCAUGGAUCCCGUUGCUCCGCUAGGGUUCCCUGCUCGAUCCGACCACGCGCUAGGGUUUGAGUUUGCCUCCGCGUGGGAUGUCGCCUGCCAGCCCGCGAGGCUCGCGUAUGGGUCGCCGUCACGCUCGCCGGCGGGCGGGGGCCGCCUCGAUCCGGCUUGCUCGCGGGCCGUGAGGUGAGAGCCCGAGGAGAAAGCGGAGCGUCGUCGUCCCCUUCCUCCGCGCGGCAGGCGCCACGCACUGCCCGCAGCGAGGAGCGACAACCCUACCUGAGAAAUCUGUUUUUCAACCCUUCCUGAAACCAUGUUCUGCUCUUGUUGUGCCAUGCACACUUUGCUGCUGUCCAUAUCAACCUGUGUAAGCACCUGAUGUCAAAAGAAAAGGGGAAAAUCAAUACCACAUCCUUCAAAAGAAGAAAACAAGUGCACGUUACGUACUAUCCUAAAAAGGAGGAGCAAAAGGAUUGGUGAGAAGAAAACAUGAGCAAACCUUUGCUUUGCCUGACCUGACUGAUGGAGGAGCUUGACGGCGCUUGACAACCAGAGCACCUCGCCGCCGCCGGCCGCUGCAGAAACCCUCGCCGCCGCCGCCGCCCCAGACGCGCCGCCGACUACCCGGAGGAAAUGCCUUUGCCUGAGGGAGAUGAGAACUAGUGGAUGAACCUGUGGAGUGCUGCAGUGGGGAAUUUUGGGGGGGAUUAAAAAGGAUCAGAAAAACCCUAGAUCCGAGUGUGUUUUUUGCACUUUAGUCACAAAUGCGCAAAAUAUUAUUUGUAAUGAAUUUUGGUUUUUGUGAAUAAGCUGUUUUGUUGUGUGCAUUGCUGCAAGAAGAGAGGAGAAAAAAAAAAGUAUCUGUUUUCAUGUGCCUAUUCGGUGGCACAAAUUUUUCCGUUGCUUCCUGUUUAGACACGCAACAUUUAAUUACUACCGGUCUUGAAAUGUGAACUGGUUUUCGUUUUUUUUUCUUAUCACGAAAUUUAGCACAACUCAUUUGGAUGAUAAUUAGUAAAAUGAAAUAUCAGGAGUACCUUGGAAUGAUGUAUCCUUGGAUGAAGGAAG